AUUCCAACUUCACGCAGUCGAGUUGCAGACUGCGAUCCGGACUACGAUACACUUUCUGGGAUUAGCUCCCCCUCGCGGGUUGGCGGCCCUCUGUAUGUACCAUUGUAUGACGUGUGAAGCCCUACCCAUAAGGGCCAUGAGGACUUGACGUCAUCCCCACCUUCCUCCGGUUUGUCACCGGCAGUCUCAUUAGAGUGCCCUUUCGUAGCAACUAAUGACAAGGGUUGCGCUCGUUGCGGGACUUAACCCAACAUCUCACGACACGAGCUGACGACAGCCAUGCAGCACCUGUGUUCAGGUUCCCUUUCGGGCACUCCCCGAUCUCUCGAGGAUUCCUGACAUGUCAAGGGUAGGUAAGGUUUUUCGCGUUGCAUCGAAUUAAUCCACAUCAUCCACCGCUUGUGCGGGUCCCCGUCAAUUCCUUUGAGUUUUAAUCUUGCGACCGUACUCCCCAGGCGGUCUACUUCACGCGUUAGCUGCGUUACCAAGUCAAUUAAGACCCGACAACUAGUAGACAUCGUUUAGGGCGUG
This 531-nucleotide ribosomal RNA is filed under the name uncultured bacterium. RNAcentral describes it as "partial 16S ribosomal RNA". The record is from RNAcentral.